Molecule: ribosomal RNA, 393 nt
Filed under: uncultured bacterium
Lineage: Bacteria
Description: partial 16S ribosomal RNA
Rfam family: Bacterial small subunit ribosomal RNA
Source: RNAcentral
AUACGGAAGGUCCGGGCGUUAUCCGGAUUUAUUGGGUUUAAAGGGAGCGCAGGCGGAGAUGCAAGCGUGACGUCAAAUUUCGGGGCUCAACCCCGUCUCGCGUCGCGAACUGCGUCCCUUGGUUGCGGGAAGGGGAGGCGGAACUCGUGGUGGAGCGGUGAAAUGCAUAGAUAUCACGAAGAACUCCGAUCGCGAAGGCAGCCUUCCGGCCCGUCAACGACGCUCAUGCUCGAAGGUGCGGGUAUCAAACAGGAUUAGAUACCCUGGUAGUCCGCACAGUAAACGAUGGACACCCGCGGUUUGGCCUGUAUGGCUGAGCCGCCAAGCGAAAGCGUUAAGUGUCCCACCUGGGGAGUACGCCAGCAACGGUGAAACUCAAAGGAAUUGACGGGG